AUUGAACGCUGGCGGCAUGCCUUACACAUGCAAGUCGAACGGCAGCACGGGUGCUUGCACCUGGUGGCGAGUGGCGAACGGGUGAGUAAUACAUCGGAACGUACCUUAUCGUGGGGGAUAACGCAGCGAAAGCUGUGCUAAUACCGCAUACGCCCUGAGGGGGAAAGCGGGGGAUCGCAAGACCUCGCGCGAUUAGAGCGGCCGAUGCCUGAUUAGCUAGUUGGUGGGGUAAAAGCCCACCAAGGCGACGAUCAGUAGCUGGUCUGAGAGGACGAUCAGCCACACUGGGACUGAGACACGGCCCAGACUCCUACGGGAGGCAGCAGUGGGGAAUUUUGGACAAUGGGGGCAACCCUGAUCCAGCAAUGCCGCGUGAGUGAAGAGGGCCUUCGGGUUGUAAAGCUCUUUUGUCAGGGAAGAAACACCGGCUCUAACACAGUCCGGGAAUGACGGUACCUGAAGAAUAAGCACCGGCUAACUACGUG
RNAcentral lists this ribosomal RNA (485 nucleotides) under uncultured bacterium. RNAcentral's name for it is "bacterial SSU rRNA". It matches the Rfam family "Bacterial small subunit ribosomal RNA", at positions 29 to 507 of the family's 1533-position model. The record is from RNAcentral.